UGGAACUGAGCGUUUCAAGCUGGGCCCCAUUCAUAUCCAGGUUGGACACCCCUGCACUAGUGUGUCCAUGGUGAGGAUAUUUAUGUGGUAUUUAACUGGGGCAAAAUUGAGCACCUAUAGGUGUAACAUUCAAAAUAAGACCUUAUAUUAAAGGCCCGUCCAAGGCAGGUGUUAUAUACAGGGCUUUCUGACACCCAUAGAGCUUUAUGCGCAAAGGCAACCAGGAAAUUGUCAUGGGGGCUUGUAUAGAUCAUCAUCAUUUAUUUAUAUAGCACCAACAAGAUACGCAGUACUUAGAUGAGUGCAAAUAGUUGGUGUGUAGUUUUGUUGUCCUUUGUGUGGCAAGUGCUCUCUCUGUAUUCAUAAAUUCUCUGGUUACAAGUUUACUGAGGGCUGGAAUAAUUUCGCUAUAAAAUGCAGAGCGAGAAAUUCCAGGGAGAUAAGAUGGAAUUUCACUGGUCAGACCAUGAAAGCGAGCUUGCCCCUAUGGAAAGGGUUAAUGUGAGGCACUGCAGAGGAAUUCUUCAGCUCUGGCCAGAUCCUUCUUCCCGAGGCGGGAUUUAUAUGGGAUGUUAUUUCAUCCUGAGUCUGUAAUCUGCAUUUUUAUGGGGCUCUGCAGAACAUGUACACUGGUCUUUUCUUGGGGCGGACAGGAGGGGGGGAGCUUUGAGGAGAAGCAGGGAAAAAAUGGGGGAUGGAGGCAAAGCUGUUACUCUGGUAUGCUGAAUAAUUUACACCCUGUCUCCCCGGGCCAGGCCUGGCCAGUAACUCAUCUUUAUGGCUGCAGGAGAGAAAGGAACACACAGGAGACGCAAGUCAAAUUAACCCAUUGCCUGCUUCUACCACGGCCUCUUUGGAGGACUGCUGAUUGAGUGCACUGGAACCUCCGCCUGACUGUGAUGAAGACUGGCGAUCCAGAAGAUGGCGCCCACAAGGUCCGCUGCUCCCCGCGGAUGGAAAAAGUCUGAUUUCGAAAAUCCGCCAGAACUGCCAAGGUUGCAUUGGGAGAAGUCCUGCAAUAAUCCAAAGAUUUUGUGGUUUUCGGGCAAAAAAUCCAAAAAAGACUUCUUGCGGAAAAUCCCAAAAAUUCGUACAAUCCGAAUUUUUCACAAAUUUGUCCGGUUUUUUUCCAGCACAGGAAAUUUUCAGGGAAAAUGUAUUGAUAAAUAAGAGGAAAAAACCCGUGCAAAUUUGGUCAGAGUACUUUUCAGAGAAUAAUGAGAUAAAUUUGGACUUUGAUAAAUGGGCCUCCCCAUGUGGUGUAAAUUUGUCUGAACGCAAAAUUGUCAGUGUGCACCACUAUAUGUUGUAUGUACUUGUGUUAAAUCCUGUGUUUAGCCUGGAGUGAGCAUUGUCAGAACUGAAGCUUCCACCAUGUGAAUAGGACUUUCUUUUCUGAAUAGCCUAAGCCAGUGAUCCCCAACCAGUGGCUCUCAAGCAACGUUACUCAAAAUUUCUCCACAAGGAACACUCUCUUAAUCUCUUCAAGAAAAAACUCAGAUUCUUCCUUUUGGAGAACUAGAACAUUAGUCUAGUCGGCCACUUAAGGGACAAUGCCUUUACUCUGUGCACUUUUCCCCUC
Long non-coding RNA from Xenopus laevis (African clawed frog), 1582 nucleotides. RefSeq lists it as uncharacterized. The record is from RefSeq and is a predicted model, not a curated record. The transcript is spliced from 4 exons. NCBI's taxonomy places the organism in Eukaryota, Metazoa, Chordata, Amphibia, Anura, Pipidae.